GACGAACGCUGGCGGCGUGCUUAACACAUGCAAGUCGAACGGGGCUACUAUGAUGGAGUUUUCGGACAACUGAUUAGUAUGCCUAGUGGCGGACGGGUGAGUAACGCGUGAGUAACCUGCCUUUCAGAGGGGGACAACAGCUGGAAACGGCUGCUAAUACCGCAUAAUAUAUACAGGUCGCAUGAUUUGUAUAUCAAAGAUUUAUCGCUGGAAGAUGGACUCGCGUCUGAUUAGCUAGUUGGCGGGGUAACGGCCCACCAAGGCGACGAUCAGUAGCCGGACUGAGAGGUUGAACGGCCACAUUGGGACUGAGAUACGGCCCAGACUCCUACGGGAGGCAGCAGUGGGGAAUAUUGGGCAAUGGGCGCAAGCCUGACCCAGCAACGCCGCGUGAA
This 395-nucleotide ribosomal RNA is filed under the name uncultured bacterium. RNAcentral's name for it is "bacterial SSU rRNA". It matches the Rfam family "Bacterial small subunit ribosomal RNA", at positions 28 to 405 of the family's 1533-position model. The record is from RNAcentral.